GAUGAACGCUGACAGAAUGCUUAACACAUGCAAGUCAACUUGAACUUCGGUUUGGGUGGCGGACGGGUGAGUAACGCGUAAAGAACUUGCCUCACAGUUAGGGACAACAUUUGGAAACGAAUGCUAAUACCUGAUAUUAUGAUUUUAGGACAUCCUAGAAUUAUGAAAGCUAUAUGCGCUGUGAGAGAGCUUUGCGUCCCAUUAGCUAGUUGGAGAGGUAACGGCUCACCAAGGCGAUGAUGGGUAGCCGGCCUGAGAGGGUGAUCGGCCACAAGGGGACUGAGACACGGCCCUUACUCCUACGGGAGGCAGCAGUGGGGAAUAUUGGACAAUGGACCAAGAGUCUGAUCCAGCAAUUCUGUGUGCACGAUGAAGUUUUUCGGAAUGUAAAGUGCUUUCAGUUGGGAAGAAAAAAAUGACGGUACCAACAGAAGAAGUGACGGCUAAAUACGUGCCAGCAGCCGCGGUAAUACGUAUGUCACAAGCGUUAUCCGGAUUUAUUGGGCGUAAAGCGCGUCUAGGUGGUUAUGUAAGUCUGAUGUGAAAAUGCAGGGCUCAACUCUGUAUUGCGUUGGAAACUGUGUAACUAGAGUACUGGAGAGGUAAGCGGAACUACAAGUGUAGAGGUGAAAUUCGUAGAUAUUUGUAGGAAUGCCGAUGGGGAAGCCAGCUUACUGGACAGAUACUGACGCUGAAGCGCGAAAGCGUGGGUAGCAAACAGG
RNAcentral lists this ribosomal RNA (722 nucleotides) under uncultured Fusobacterium sp. RNAcentral's name for it is "bacterial SSU rRNA". It matches the Rfam family "Bacterial small subunit ribosomal RNA", at positions 28 to 776 of the family's 1533-position model. Lineage: Bacteria; Fusobacteriati; Fusobacteriota; Fusobacteriia; Fusobacteriales; Fusobacteriaceae. The record is from RNAcentral.